AACAUAUUUUUAGCCAGAAAGGGCAGAAACUGUAUUUACUGUCUUAGAAAGUAGUUGCCAUACCUUUUUCAAUUGUACAUUUGUCUGUUUUCUUACUGAAGAACCUCUACUCUGAAAUGAUUUUUCCUACCAUGUUUUAUUUCAAAAAGGAUCCAUAUAGUGGGAAUGAAAAUAAUUCAGGCUCCUUUUCAUGUUGGACGUUACAAAAUGAUGGAUUAUGGAGAAGCGGCUAGCCCUUUACUGAACCUGAAAAGGCCUGCUGAAUUGUAUACUUCCCAAACAUGGAAAGAUGAUGGAACAAAUUCCCUUGUCUUCACACUUUUGGAAAAGAAGAAAAAAUCUCUUUAUACACACAUUAUAGUAGACGUUGGAGCUACACCACAACUACCACCUCCAGGCAGAAGAAAAAGGAAUAACAUAUAACUUGGAUAUCAUCUGAAGCUUUCAAAUCUUGGAGCUAUUUACAAGCUAAACUCACCAGGAAAGCAAAGAGGGUAAAGGUAUUUAAGAGUACAUUCCUUGAGCGCAUUUGACCAAAUAAAGCAGGAGCCUAAUACAGGGUACUAAAGAAGCCGCAUCUGGGGUAUAAUGGUUUCUCUUCAUUGAUAUUAGCAACACAGAAAAUACAUAUCCUAUCUUGUUCUGCAGUAAACCUUCAGGCGCUAGAAGGUAGUAAUAGUUCUCCUAUAGGGCUUGCGAAGUACCAGCAACUGAUUACUCUAUAAACAAUUGCAAAAUAUCUACUGAACCCUGUGCUUUUUUCUAAUUUGCACAAGUCUUCUGCAUAGCAAAUGUUCAUUCAAACAAAAGUUACAUUAAUGUGGGUAUUUAUUACUAAUUUUCUCAAUAAUUAUCUGAAUAUGAAUGUAUCAAACUCUUCUAAAUAACAUGAGACUCCAAUGAAACACGUUGACUAGAAAAGCAGGCAAUCAGUUCAUCUGAAUACUUACAUAAGAUAAAUGUUUAUUAAUGGUAUUAGUUAUUAAAAUUCACUAAAAUGUAUUUUCAAAGUAACACUCUGUAGGAGUUGGCCUACAAAUCUCCUUUUGAAAGAUUCUUCACUAGAAAUUCAGUUUUCUAUACCUGUAUUUUAAGACAGCUAAUUUUAAAUUGUAUUUCAGAGUGUUACUUUUAAAAUACAUUUUAGUGAAUUUUAAUAACUAAUACCAUUAAUAAACAUUUAUGUAAGUAUUCAGAUGAACUGAUUGCCUGAUUUUCUAGUCAACGUGUUUCAUUGGAGUCUCAUGUUAUUUAGAAGAGUUUGAUACAUUUGUGGAGACUCAAACUGAUGAGAUGGAGCAGCUGUUCAUGUAUUUGCCAUAUUAUAAAUCUGGAAGUGAAUGGAUGUGGAGACUUACCCUGUGCUAUAUCCCAGCUCAUUGAAUCAUAACAGACUUAGUUUGGAAAGGCAGAGUAGUAAAUCUAAAUAUUUAAGGCUGCUGUUUAUUAAAAGCAACAAAGCACCAAUCUUGAAUCUAUUCCCCUCUGCCCAUUUGUAAAUCAGUGGGGAAAAUAAGUAGAAUUGUUUGGCUUGCAAACCUAUGAUGUGGCUUGCUGGUAGCCACAUUGAAAAUACAAAAAUAAUUUCACUUUGAGUAGCUAUACCACAAUUUAUUUUCCUGGUUCUUUUUUUAAAAUAAUACUGAAGUUUCACAUUGCUCCACAGGACUGAGUAUAUGCUUAGUACUAAUAUCUGAAAUUCAUUAGCUACACUAAGCAUCACUGUAUUUUUAGACCAUCCUGCAUUCUUUCCUUGCAAAGGUGUAUGCUAUCAUUUUAAUAACAAUUUAUAUACUUGUGUACUCUCUGCAAAUAAGUUUGGCUGUUCUCCUUUGAAAAAUAAAAUGAAAACCACACUGAUCAAUUUAUUUUAGUAGUAAAUUCUCACACAUUAUUAAACUAACACAGAUAUUGGGAUAAAUAUAACAGAAGAUCAACAGCUAUUACAUUUUAUUCAAACUUUUAUUUUUUUCUUGUUCUAAGAAAGAGGAAUUACGUGCCAUCCCUCUUCAAAAUACUAUUAUGAUGAGCACUUAUUCAACUGACUGGAGAAAAAACAUUUUGAAAAGUUGGGUACUGAAAAAAAAAUGUCUUGUUUCUUUGAAAAGGUAACAGCUGAAUUGUUCUUGUAUCUUUUAACUUCAAAAAGUAGUAGAAUUCUUUACAAAGGAUUAUUUUUAUAAAAAAAAAAAAAAAAUUCCAGCUAAUCAAUGUUGUCCGGUAGUUCAAACGGAAAUAACUAGCAAAUCUAUCAGUGUUUUAAAAACAUUGCCUCUGUAAGGAACUUGUUGAGGCUCCACCGACAGGAAACGGAAUAUUUCACAGCUGUAGCUCAGUCAUCACUUUUUUUUUUUUUUUUGGUCCAUUCUAAUAAAAUUUAUUAGGCA
This is a non-coding RNA of Python bivittatus (Burmese python), 2387 nucleotides long. The record is from RefSeq and is a predicted model, not a curated record. Lineage: Eukaryota; Metazoa; Chordata; Lepidosauria; Squamata; Pythonidae.